GUCCGGUUCGUCUAUCGGUAGGACCACUGUUUUUCACGCAGUAGAGGCGGGUUCGACUCCCGCACCGGGUACCA
Molecule: transfer RNA, 74 nt
Filed under: Candidatus Elarobacter sp.
Lineage: Bacteria; Bacillati; Vulcanimicrobiota; Vulcanimicrobiia; Vulcanimicrobiales; Vulcanimicrobiaceae
Description: tRNA-Glu
Rfam family: tRNA
About the family: Transfer RNA (tRNA) molecules are approximately 80 nucleotides in length. Their secondary structure includes four short double-helical elements and three loops (D, anti-codon, and T loops). Further hydrogen bonds mediate the characteristic L-shaped molecular structure. tRNAs have two regions of fundamental functional importance: the anti-codon, which is responsible for specific mRNA codon recognition, and the 3' end, to which the tRNAs corresponding amino acid is attached (by aminoacyl-tRNA synthetases). tRNAs cope with the degeneracy of the genetic code in two manners: having more than one tRNA (with a specific anti-codon) for a particular amino acid; and 'wobble' base-pairing, i.e. permitting non-standard base-pairing at the 3rd anti-codon position.
Source: RNAcentral